AGGGUGUUUUCCAAUCAACAGACCUUUGAUUUCGGCUCAUAAUGUCAUGGUGUAAGUCCCCCACCCCCUU
RNAcentral lists this transfer RNA (70 nucleotides) under Squalidus gracilis. Its description in RNAcentral is "Capoeta gracilis tRNA-Arg". The record is from RNAcentral. Lineage: Eukaryota; Metazoa; Chordata; Actinopteri; Cypriniformes; Gobionidae.